CUGCCCUUUGAGACGGGGAUAAACCCGGGAAACUGGGUAUAAUACCCGAUAGAUCUCGGCUGCUGGAAUGCACCGAGUUCUAAAGCUCCGGCGCUCAAGGAUGGAUCUGCGGCCUAUCAGGUAGUAGUGGGUGUAGCGUACCUACUAGCCUACGACGGGUACGGGUUGUGAGAGCAAGAGCCCGGAGAUGGAUUCUGAGACACGAAUCCAGGCCCUACGGGGUGCAGCAGGCGCGAAAACUUUACAAUGCUGGAAACAGCGAUAAGGGGACCUCGAGUGCCAGGUUACAAAUCUGGCUGUCGUGAUGCCUAAAAAGCAUUGCAUAGCAAGGGCCGGGCAAGACCGGUGCCAGCCGCCGCGGUAACACCGGCGGCUCGAGUGGUAACCGUUAUUAUUGGGUCUAAAGGGUCUGUAGCCGGCCGGAUAAGUCUCUUGGGAAAUCUGGCAGCUUAACUGUCAGGCUUUCAGGAGAUACUGUCUGGCUCGAGGCCGGGAGAGGUGAGAGGUACUUCAGGGGUAGGGGUGAAAUCUUGUAAUCCUUGAAGGACCACCAGUGGCGAAGGCGUCUCACCAGAACGGACCUGACGGCAAGGGACGAAAGCUAGGGGCACGAACCGGAUUAGAUACCCGGGUAGUCCUAGCCGUAAACGAUACUCGCUAGGUGUCGGCCACGGUGCGACCGUUGUCGGUGCCGUAGGGAAGCCGUGAAGCGAGCCACCUGGGAAGUACGGCCGCAAGGCUGAAACUUAAAGGAAUUGGCGGGGGAACACCACAACGGGUGGAGCUUGCGGUUUAAUUGGAUUCAACGCCGGAAAUCUUACCGGGACCGACAGCAAUAUGAAGGCCAGGCUGAAGACUUUGCCGGAUUAGCU
RNAcentral lists this ribosomal RNA (872 nucleotides) under uncultured archaeon. Its description in RNAcentral is "bacterial SSU rRNA". It matches the Rfam family "Archaeal small subunit ribosomal RNA", at positions 109 to 981 of the family's 1478-position model. The record is from RNAcentral.